AUGAACGCUGGCGGCGUGCCUAAUACAUGCAAGUCGAGCGAACAGACGAGGAGCUUGCUCCUCUGACGUUAGCGGCGGACGGGUGAGUAACACGUGGAUAACCUACCUAUAAGACUGGGAUAACUUCGGGAAACCGGAGCUAAUACCGGAUAAUAUAUUGAACCGCAUGGUUCAAUAGUGAAAGACGGUUUUGCUGUCACGUAUAGAUGGAUCCGCACCGCAUUAGCUAGUUGGUAAGGUAACGGCUUACCAAGGCGACGAUGCGUAGCCGACCUGAGAGGGUGAUAGGCCACACUGGAACUGAGACACGGUCCAGACUCCUACGGGAGGCAGCAGUAGCGAAUCUUCCGCAAUGGGCGAAAGCCUGACGGAGCAACGCCGCGUGAGUGAUGAAGGUCUUCGGAUCGUAAAACUCUGUUAUUAGGGAAGAACAAAUGUGUAAGUAACUAUGCACGUCUUGACGGUACCUAAUCAGAAAGCCACGGCUAACUACGUG
RNAcentral lists this ribosomal RNA (496 nucleotides) under uncultured bacterium. RNAcentral's name for it is "partial 16S ribosomal RNA". It matches the Rfam family "Bacterial small subunit ribosomal RNA", at positions 29 to 507 of the family's 1533-position model. The record is from RNAcentral.